RNAcentral lists this transfer RNA (77 nucleotides) under Achromobacter anxifer. RNAcentral's name for it is "tRNA-Gln". It matches the Rfam family "tRNA". From Rfam's summary of the family: Transfer RNA (tRNA) molecules are approximately 80 nucleotides in length. Their secondary structure includes four short double-helical elements and three loops (D, anti-codon, and T loops). Further hydrogen bonds mediate the characteristic L-shaped molecular structure. tRNAs have two regions of fundamental functional importance: the anti-codon, which is responsible for specific mRNA codon recognition, and the 3' end, to which the tRNAs corresponding amino acid is attached (by aminoacyl-tRNA synthetases). tRNAs cope with the degeneracy of the genetic code in two manners: having more than one tRNA (with a specific anti-codon) for a particular amino acid; and 'wobble' base-pairing, i.e. permitting non-standard base-pairing at the 3rd anti-codon position. Lineage: Bacteria; Pseudomonadati; Pseudomonadota; Betaproteobacteria; Burkholderiales; Alcaligenaceae. The record is from RNAcentral.
AGGGGAUUAGCCAAGUUGGUAAGGCACUGGAUUUUGAUUCCAGCAAUGCGCGUGUUCGAGUCACGCAUCCCCCGCCA